RNAcentral lists this long non-coding RNA (1013 nucleotides) under Chinchilla lanigera (long-tailed chinchilla). RNAcentral describes it as "lncRNA (ENSCLAG00000029144.1)". Lineage: Eukaryota; Metazoa; Chordata; Mammalia; Rodentia; Chinchillidae. The record is from RNAcentral.
GCGCCCCGGCCUCGCCGCGCGGCUGCCUGCUCCGUGCCUCCUCCAUGCCGGCUCGCGCGCCAGAAGACAGCCGCCGGGCCCGGACACGCGCUCAGUCCCACGCCAGCAAGGCUCAAAACCUCGCUUUCCUCUGUAGUACUUAAACCACCAGGCUGGCGUUCCCGCGGGCGCCGCCACACAAACUGCGGGAAACACCUCCCACUUCCGGAGCGUGUGGCGUCCGCACGCCGCGCAGGCGCAAUGGGCAGACGCGCGCGGAUCGCGGGCGCAACCGCCGCCGGGGGAGGCGGGAAGAAAGAGCUGCGCGCGGGCGCGCGCGGGAGGGAAGUGGGCGUGGACGACGCCCAGAGAUCUUGUUCAUCUUUACUGGACACAUUAUUGGAUCUUUUGCCAUUAUAUUGUGUACCACUGUGAGUGGGUUUUUUGUUUUUUCGGUUCUUUUUCUUUAACACAGAGUCUCUAAGUUGCUAAACUGUCUGGGCUAGGCUUAAAUUUGUAAUCUCCUUAUCUCACCCUCCCAGUGUACUGGGGUUACAGACAUGCACCACCACACCCAGUAUGAAUGUUCUAGUUUUAAAUUAAAAUUUAGGUUGGUUAUUUAUUAGUAUAAAAUACCAUUGAUUUUUAACUCCUAAUCUUUAGUGGAUUUUAAUAGUUUUAUUAUUUUAUUUAUUUGUAUAACCUUUUUUUGCGUUAUUUAGGUAUUUUUUCUAAGAUGAAUGAUCAUUUAAGCACAAUUCUAGCUCGACUGUUCCUGUCCUUAUACACUUACAUAUUCUUUUCUUCUUGCAAUGGCCAGCAGUAUUUUUAACAUGUUAAUAGUAAUAGCACUAUGCUUAUUUUAUGAAAAAUGUAUAUAAAGCUUCUAGACUUAUUUUAUUGUUUGUGGCAUGUUCCAAGGAGUUUUUCUUUUUUUUUUUUUUUUUUUUUUUUUUUUUUUUUUUUUGGUCUUUUUGAGACAAGGCAGUUCAGGCUGGCCUUGAGCUCACUUUGUAGCCCAGGCUGGUCUCGCA